CAUUGAUUAAAUCAAAAGUAGAAAGAAGCUGAAAAAUUCAAGACGGAGAAAACGAAGGCUUAUAUUGAAAAUACAACAACAGAUGAAAUCAAGUACUAAUACUGAUAAUCAAUAAUUUAUUACGGAAGAUCUUUUAGAUUUCUCCAAUGAAGAGAUGCUGCAGUAGUUUUAGGAACAAACCAAUUACAAUUAUUGUGGUAUGAGUGCAGAACGAGGGAUGAAUUUCAUGUGCAACUGGAAUUGAUGUGAGCAAUUAUGGAUCGAGAGGGAGCAACUGGACUUUAUGUGAUUUUUUUUCUUUGUUUUGUUAUCUUUAACAGUUCAAAGAUUACAUUUUAUGGUCACAAUUUUGCAACUUAGAAGUUGUCAUUUGGUU
Long non-coding RNA from Papaver somniferum (opium poppy), 376 nucleotides. RefSeq lists it as uncharacterized. NCBI's taxonomy places the organism in Eukaryota, Viridiplantae, Streptophyta, Magnoliopsida, Ranunculales, Papaveraceae. The transcript is spliced from 2 exons. The record is from RefSeq and is a predicted model, not a curated record.